Molecule: ribosomal RNA, 538 nt
Filed under: Sungouiella pseudointermedia
Lineage: Eukaryota; Fungi; Ascomycota; Pichiomycetes; Serinales; Metschnikowiaceae
Description: eukaryotic LSU rRNA
Rfam family: Eukaryotic large subunit ribosomal RNA
Source: RNAcentral
CCAACAGGGAAUGCCUCAGUAACGGCGAGUGAAGCGGCAAAAGCUCAAAUUUGAAAUCCUUCGGGAGUUGUAAUUUGUAGGUUGGGAGACCCCGCGGCUAGUGGCACCAAGUCCCUUGGAACAGGGCGCCUUAGAGGGUGAGAGCCCCGUAGGUACCACAACACCGUCUUGUGUCUCCUCUCCAAAGAGUCGAGUUGUUUGGGAAUGCAGCUCAAAGUGGGUGGUAAAUUCCAUCUAAAGCUAAAUACCGGCGAGAGACCGAUAGCGAACAAGUACAGUGAUGGAAAGAUGAAAAGCACUUUGAAAAGAGAGUGAAACAGUACGUGAAAUUGUUGAAAGGGAAGGGCUUGCAAGCAGACACGGCCUUCGUGCCGGGCCAGCAUCGGUUGCUAGGGGUGGAUAAGGAACAAGGAAUGUAGCUCCUCGGAGUAUUAUAGCCUUGCGCGAUACACCCACUGGCGACCGAGGCCUGCGGUAUUCCUACCUAGGAUGCUGGCGUAAUGGUUGCAAGCCGCCCGUCUUGAAACACCGGACACAA